UACGUAGGGUGCAAGCGUUAAUCGGAAUUACUGGGCGUAAAGCGUGCGCAGGCGGUUUUGUAAGUCAGAUGUGAAAUCCCCGGGCUUAACCUGGGAACUGCAUUUGUGACUGCAUCGCUGGAGUGCGGCAGAGGGGGAUGGAAUUCCGCGUGUAGCAGUGAAAUGCGUAGAUAUGCGGAGGAACACCGAUGGCGAAGGCAAUCCCCUGGGCCUGCACUGACGCUCAUGCACGAAAGCGUGGGGAGCAAACAGG
Molecule: ribosomal RNA, 253 nt
Filed under: uncultured bacterium
Lineage: Bacteria
Description: partial 16S ribosomal RNA
Rfam family: Bacterial small subunit ribosomal RNA
Source: RNAcentral